This 1962-nucleotide ribosomal RNA is filed under the name human gut metagenome. Its description in RNAcentral is "bacterial LSU rRNA". It matches the Rfam family "Bacterial large subunit ribosomal RNA", at positions 1 to 1977 of the family's 2925-position model. The record is from RNAcentral.
GAAAGUAAAUAAGGGCGCAUGGCGGAUGCCUUGGCUCUCGGAGGCGAUGAAGGACGUGAUAAGCUGCGAUAAGCUUCGGGUAGGUGCAAAUAACCUUUGAUCCGAAGAUUUCCGAAUGGGACAACCCGGCAUUCUGAAGGAAUGUCAUCCAACUAAGUUGGAGGCUAACGCAGGGAACUGAAACAUCUUAGUACCUGCAGGAAAAGAAAAUAAAUAAUGAUUCCCCUAGUAGUGGCGAGCGAACGGGGAUUAGCCCAAACCACCCAUGUUACGGCAUGUGUGGGGUUGUAGGACCACGCUCUCGCAAGACAGUUAUUGAGAAGAAACGACUGGAAAGUCGUGCCAUAGACGGUGAUAGCCCGGUAUUCUAAGGUAACCGAAGCGUAGUGGUAUCCUGAGUAGCGCGGAGCACGAGGAAUUCUGCGUGAAUCAGCCGGGACCAUCCGGUAAGGCUAAAUACUCCCGAGAGACCGAUAGCGAACCAGUACUGUGAAGGAAAGGUGAAAAGCACUUCGAAUAGAAGAGUGAAAUAGUCCCUGAAACCAUGCGCCUACAAGCGGUCGGAGCAGCUUAAGUUGUGACGGCGUGCCUUUUGCAUAAUGAACCUACGAGUUACUUUUUCCGGCAAGGUUAAGGAUCUUGAGAUCCGCAGCCGAAGCGAAAGCGAGUCUUAACAGGGCGAUUAGUCGGAAGGAGUAGACGCGAAACCAAGUGAUCUACCCUUGGUCAGGUUGAAGGUUAGGUAACACUAACUGGAGGACCGAACCGAUAAGCGUUGAAAAGCUUCCGGAUGACCUGAGGGUGGGGGUGAAAGGCUAAUCAAACUUGGAGAUAGCUCGUACUCCCCGAAAUGCAUUUAGGUGCAGCCUUGAGAGUUACUAAUGUGAGGUAGAGCGACUGAUAAGAUGCGAGGGCUUCACCGCCUAUCAAGUCUUGAUAAACUCCGAAUGCGCAUUAGUUCUAUCACAGGAGUGAGGGCAUGGGUGCUAAGGUCCAUGUCCUAAAGGAGAAGAAUCCAGACCAUCAGCUAAGGUCCCCAAAUAAACACUAAGUUGAACUAACGAAGUCAGAUUGCUAAGACAGCUAGGAUGUUGGCUUGGAAGCAGCCAUUCAUUUAAAGAGUGCGUAACAGCUCACUAGUCGAGGAGUUUGGCGUGGAUAAUAAUCGGGCAUAAGUGUUUUACCGAAGCUAUGGGAUACGUAAGUAUCGGUAGGGGAGCAUUCCACUCUGCGUUGAAGGCGAAGCGUGAGCUUUACUGGAGCGUGUGGAAAAGCAAAUGUAGGUAUAAGUAACGAUAAAGGGGGUGAGAAACCCCCUCGCCGCAAGACUAAGGUUUCCUGAUCAACGCUAAUCGGAUCAGGGUUAGUCGGGUCCUAAGGCUCAGCCGAACGGUGAGGCCGAUGGCAGAACAGGUUAAUAUUCCUGUACUACCUUAAGGAGUGACGUGGAGACGGAGGAGUGACAGCGCCGCGGACUGACGGAAUAGUCCGUUGAAGGGUGUAGAUGUUGAUUAUCCCAGGCAAAUCCGGGAUAAGAGUCGAACCUGAUAGUAUACCAAUUUCCUCGGAAAACGGUAAUAGUGCGUGUAAACAUACUCCCAAGAAAAUCCGCUAAACUUAAUCUUAUAGGUACCCGUACCGUAAACGGACACACGUAGUCGGGUUGAAUAUACUCAGGCGCUUGAGUGAAUCACGGUUAAGGAACUAGGCAAAUUGACCCUGUAACUUCGGGAUAAAGGGUCCCUACCCGGUGACGGGAGGGCGCAGAGAAUAGGUCCAGGCAACUGUUUAACAAAAACACAGGGCUGUGCCAAAUUGAAAGAUCACGUAUACAGCCUGACACCUGCCCGGUGCUGGAAGGUUAAGAGGAGAUGUCAUCGCAAGAGAAGCAUUGAAUUGAAGCCCCAGUAAACGGCGGCCGUAACUAUAACGGUCCUAAGGUAGCGAAAUUCCUUGUCGGGU